Molecule: unclassified non-coding RNA, 322 nt
Filed under: soil metagenome
Description: partial contains 5.8S ribosomal RNA, internal transcribed spacer 2, and large subunit ribosomal RNA
Rfam family: 5.8S ribosomal RNA (bases 1-120)
Source: RNAcentral
GAUGAAGAACGCAGCGAAAUGCGAUAAGUAAUGCGAAUUGCAGAAUUCAGUGAGUCAUCGAAUCUUUGAACGCACAUUGCGCCCUGUGGUAUUCCGCAGGGCAUGCCUGUUCGAGCGUCAUUUCAACCCUCAAGCUCUGCUUGGUGUUGGGCCCUGCCCGCUGCGGCCGGCCCUAAAGACAGUGGCGGUGCCGCCUGGCCCUGAGCGUAGUACAUCUCUCGCUCCAGUGCCCGGUGGUAGCCUGCCAGAACCCCAACUCUCGUGGUUGACCUCGGAUCAGGUAGGGAUACCCGCUGAACUUAAGCAUAUCAAUAACGGAGGA